Molecule: long non-coding RNA, 612 nt
Organism: Heterocephalus glaber (naked mole-rat)
Lineage: Eukaryota; Metazoa; Chordata; Mammalia; Rodentia; Bathyergidae
Source: Ensembl
CUUUUCUGUCUGGAUCAUCUGUCCAUUGCUGAAAGUUAUUGAAGUCCUCUACUAUUAGUGUAUUACAGUUUUCUCUUAAUUUAGAUUGAUUUGUUACUUUUAUAUAUCUUGUACAGGUGCUGUGAUGUUGGAUGCAGAUACAUUUACAAUUGUGAUAGAUUCCUGCUCAUGAUGUGAGAGAAGUGGCUCAAACUUCCUGAGACAUGGUGAUUAUGGGUGACUCCAGAGGCCUCCACAGAGAAAUGAAUCAGUGGAACAGAACAGUGGAUGCUGCAAGCUGCAGUGGCUGGGAUCCAACUUGGGACCUUGCGCUUGUGAGGCAGGCGGUGGAACUACUGAGCUAAAUCCCGGCACUACUCAAGAAGACCCUCUCCAGAUGCCGAACAGAUACCUGUGCCAUGCUCUCAGACUUUCCAACCUUCAGAACUUGAAACUUCCAAAAUUCGUCUAGCUUUUUGAAGUGUACAGCACAUUACUGUUACCUAUAAUCAUCUUACUGUACAGUAGCACCCUAGAACUUCGUAGUUCUAUCCAAGUCCAACUUAGUACCUAUUGAUCAAAUAUCCACCCAGCUCUGCCCUUGCCUUUGGUAACCACCACUCUACAACCACC